UUGGGCAUAUCACCCCACCAACCCCCCGCUGAAUGUAAAAGAUGAGAUCCCAAUUUAUUUUACUUUUACGGGCUUUACAGCUUCAUGUAUGUCAUGUUGAAUCAGUACAGUUGAUCAUUUCCAGUCUGUGCACUGGCACGUAGACCCCCGGCUUUUCUUGAAACGAACACACGGUGGCUCACUUUCUCUUAAUUUUAGCCCUUACUCCUAACCCCUGAAGACAUGUUAGGCCACCAGAAGAGGUCCAGAGAAGAUCACGUUCAUAUUCCCCUGCCCCCCCUUUCACCCACACUUCAACAUGUUUCAAGCACAUGCAAACAAUGACUCAUGCAUUGCUUGUUUGCAUUCCCCACCAAUGUUCUUUUCAAGUGGCUUUAAUUAGGUUGACUUGAUGCUUAAGUUACCAUUAAAGUGACUUUCAAAAGCAAGACUUCAGCUACAGCCUUAAUGGGAUCUGUUUUAGAAGCAGGUUCAACAAACUCCAACUUGAUUAAUGCUGAGCUGCUGCUUGUGGUUCUAGAAAGUUCAAUCAGCUGAAUAUGUUCAGCUCAAGUUAAGCCUGUGCAUAAGCAGUGAAAAAUAGCCAUCAGCAGAGCUCUAGUACCAGGAUUCACCAUGGCAACAGGCAAAGAGCAGAGCCUCCAUGUAUUCACUGGACUGAGUGAAUGCAUCUUAAUGUAGAGGGAGACUUCUCUUUAAAAAACAAAAAACACAACAACAAAAAAGAAAAACAGUCAGCACCAUCCAUUCAUAAAGCAUGAAUCCUACCACAUUUUAGUUUUCGUUAUUUACUUGCAGCCGGAUGUGAAACAAAUACAGAUGCAAGCAAACAAAUCUGAACUUAAGAAAAAAAAAAAAACCCACACACACAAACAAAAACUGUAGUUCUCCUGUAAAUCGGAUUACCUUGAUUGUUUUCGAAAACAAUCUCAAUUUACACAUUUCAGAAAUUAAUUUUUUGUUUAAACAUGAUGUCUGACUGAACCUAUUGCAGUAUAAAUUACAAACAGAAUAUAAUCAGACCUACAGCCUGGAUUUAAAAACUCAUUUUAAAUAUUUAAUCCUGUUUUAGAACCAUAAAGUCAAUUCAGACUGAUCUUCACACCAAUAUUUAUGUCAUGUCCAGCAUGAUGUCAACUCUAAAACAAAUGCAGAUGACCUAUUAGACAGUUACAGCUGCUUUUCUGUCCACAAAGUUAAAUGGAUAUAGACUGUAGAAUUUAUUCUGGACUGCUAAUAUCCAGCAAACUGUUUUUAUCCUUACACUGAAGAUGUAUAAUAAAGACUACCAUCAAAUGUGGCAAUCAAGACAAGUCAAAAUUGUAACACUUUCAGGUUCUUACAUAAAUAGUCGAUGUAGGUAGAAGAACAGGAAAUUGAUUUGCAGCUGAAGACCAAUCCUAUUACAAUAAAUCUAUAAGUUUUUAGGUGUUAAAGAAUGGCCAUUAAGAUUACGAAUACUUCUAUUUACAUAGACCACUUGUCAGUAAUGUUACCCGCAAAUAAAAUCCAGACAUUGGAAGGGGAGGAAAAAAAAAAAAAAAAAAAAAAAAAACAACUUAAAAGAACUUCUGUGGACCUAAAAGCUUGAUUUCAUUAUCAGAGUCACCUGCACUACUUUAAUGCUUUUUAGAUGCAACGUCUUAUAUUCUGAAGCUGUAGCAGCUCGCAUGAUCCUGGAGAAACUUUGCAAUAUCCAGGAGAAAGUCUGCAACAGUAGUUUUAGUAUUAUAGGUCAAUAUGCUUAUGAAAUCAAACCUUCAGGUAAAUAAAAAGCUCCCUCAUCUGUGGAGCCAGCUCUCAGUUUGUAUUCAAGAGACAGACACGCUGUCUACUGUUAAGAUUCGGAUUAAGACUUUCCUUUUUCAUAAAGCAUAUAGUUAGGGCCUGAUCGGGUGACUCUGAAUCCUCCCUUAGUUGCACUGCAACAGGCCUAGGCUGCUGGGGGCUUCCCAUGAUGCACUUCUUCACUCGCUGUGUUUAUAGACCAUUUUGCAUUUAAUUAUUAUUUAUCCAUCUCUGACAGUCUCCCACAGCGUGUCUUUUGUCCCGUCUUCCCUCUCUCACACCCAGUUGGAGCAGAUGGCCACCCCUCCCUGAAACCGGUUCUGCUGGAGGUUUCUUCCUAUUUAAAGGGAGUUUUUCCUUCCCACUGUCUCCAAACCCUCGCUCAAAAUGUGGUCGUCUGAUUGUUUGGGUUUUCUCUGUAUUAUUGCAGGGUCUUAAUGUUACAGUGUAAAUCACCUCAAGGCAACUGUUGUUGUGGUGCUAUAUAAAUAAAAUUAAUGUUUAAAAAAAAAAAAAAAAAAAAAAAAUCAGAAACACUGGAGAAACUGCCUACUGAAUGCAUUACACUUCCAUACAAGACUGAUACAGAUGUUUUAAAGUUGAAUAAGGUCAGUCCAGUUUCAGUGCUCAGUUUUAGUAUUUACUUAGUAAUGCGAUGCUUUGUUUUCUAUUUAAAGGACAGAUUUCCAGGACAGCAGAUGUGUUCACAGACAAAAACACUACAACAUCUUUGUUUUCAUACCUUCAAAAAUGUGUUCAUCAUUCUUCCCGGUCUUGCACAUUGAGUUAUCGUGUCCUUUCAUUCAUGCCAUCUUCUGACCAGUCUCCACUGAUUGUUAUUACUCUUCCCUUGCACCGUACGGGGUGUGAAACAGACCUUUGACAGAUAUGCUACGGCCCGUGUGAAGCGGUUUUUGGAUUUAACGUAUGGCGAUGAUGGAGAUGUAUUACGGGACUCUUGAGGAAGAAGGCUUUUUGUGUUCCUCUUAAUCACAC
Astatotilapia calliptera (eastern happy) is the source of this 2784-nucleotide long non-coding RNA. The record is from Ensembl. NCBI's taxonomy places the organism in Eukaryota, Metazoa, Chordata, Actinopteri, Cichliformes, Cichlidae.